AGGAAUGAUUCUGCGGGCAGUCUGCCAGAUUGGCAAUUUGAAACGCACUGUCUGUGACGGCUGCUGAGGCUGCUGCGGGGGAGUGAAGGGCUGUCAUGACGAUGACCCCUGGAGUUAAAUCUCAUCAGGAUCCAUAAUUCUGUGAAACACUGAAAGUUAAGGAUUGCUGUACGCAAUGCUUGCCACAGCUUCCAACUAGGAGCAAGUCUCUUCUAUCUUCGGUCUGCUUCUGUGAUCAAUAUCACUGUCGUUAUCCCAGAAUCCCUGAAAAGGUGGUUACAGCUGUUAUAACAAGUAAACCCGCAAAUGUAUCAGUGGGAAACCAUAGAAAUCCAUUGGUUGUCCUUCUGAUGGUCAUUCCAGGUAAGAGGGUUGCUCAGCUCUGAGCGAUUCAUAGAUUCCCAUCUCCCUCUGUCCUGAGGCUUCAGCCUCAACUACUUCUCAGGUGCCAAGCUGGCAGAAGGGUGUAGAGGAGGCAAGACUGAUUGGUCUUCAAGUCGAACACAGUACUACCCAAGCUACUGUGUACUUGCCACAUGUGGCUGCAAAGAUCCCCAUCCCUGGAUGGCCACCUCCUGAAUGCAACUCUAUUACUGAGAAGGUGAUGCUCAUAGCAGCACAAGAGAAAUUAUCCCCAAGCACAAAAAAUCUAUAUAUUUUCUACGAUAACCUAAGAAAAGGACAUCUCCAGAAGACUGAUCUUUCCACAGGCUCACUCAGCUUGAUGGAGAUUAGAAGCGCUCUUCCUUGUGCUUUGCCAUGAAUAUUUGGGAUGCUUUGCUCACUGAGUUUUAGAAAAACUUUUCAGAUUUAUUUCAGUGUAUUUACUUAAAGGAAAAUACCUGUUGGUUGUAAAGAAAAUAUCAAGGAUGGUAAGCAACUUCUAAAAUAACAGUUCUGAAAACAACCUUGAAAGUAGAGUCACAGGCUGUCCGUCGAGGUCACUCUUUUCUUAUACCUGAAGUAUCAAGACUCUUGGCACGGACCUUUCCCUAGAAAAUGGACUUGGUGCUGUGUGCUUUCUGAUGGUGGCUCUCUUCAAAUGGUGAAUAAUGAAACACAGCAUCAAGUGUGGAAAUACGGUGGGGAUAUUUGCAGUGAUAAGCUGACUUCAUCUGUCGUACAGCACUGUUCUAUCAACAGGCACACAGUGUGGCAGCAGCCUGAUUCCCUAGAGCAGAGUCGGUUUCUGCCCCAGGUCCUGCCUUCUAUACAGUGUAUAUCUGACAGGGUUUACAGAGCACUGGAAACAAAACAAAGCCCCUCUGAGACUCCUGCUGAUUCUCAGUCAAAACCCCAAAUACAGUCAAUGUCUCCUAAUGGUCUCUGUGGCUGAAAAGAAAGAGCUGAGCUUUUUAUAAAGUGAAACUUCAAAAAAAUAAAAAUAAAAUAAAGUAAAACUUCUGUGCAGGCAGCAAAUGUCCUAGAAACAAGUCUCUGAGUCUUUAAAUUGCCCAAUGAGACACCAACAAAGAUUCUCAAGAAAUCUCAAUAGUGGAACUAUGCAAAAAAAAUUGACUUUUUAAAGUCAUGAAAUUAGAAUUACAGAAGUACUGUGCUUUAAGUUCCAUAAAGCUGAAAAUAAAUGUAUGCAUUUGAAACUAUUUUCUAUUAAAAUCAGUUUCAUUUUGCCUUUUUGUGUUGUUUGGUUGGUUGGUUUUGGUUUUGGUUUUUGGUUGGUUUUUUUUGAGACAAGGUUUCUCUGUGUCAGGAACUCACUCUGUAGACCAGGCUGGCCUUGAAUUCAGAGAUCUCCCUGCCUCUGCCUCCACAGUGCUGGGAUUAAAGGCAUGUGCCACUAUGACUGGUUUUUUCAACCCCUUUUUCUCCCUCUAUUUUUAAAUCCAAUGAAGAAAUUUUUCAUAAAAAUAUUUGCAAUAGAAUUUAAUUUUUCUUCUAAAUGCAAAGUUUUAGGCUUCCAUUGUAAUCUAGAUAGCCUCAUUUGCAAAAAUCCAAGUUUGUAAAUAUUGUAGUCUUAACAUUUUAUUUCUAAUAAAAAAUAUUCACUAUGUUUUUCUACAAUUGGGUGUUUCCAUUGUUCAUUUUAAUUAACCUUGAAAAAUAAACAACACAUUUCCAUUUUCCUUCAUUGAGAAAAAGAAUUCUGGGUAAUAUCAAUGAGUUGUUAAAAUUUAAUCUGGGCAGGAUUCCCACCCCAUUCCCAGAGCUGACCUUUGCUAUUCUGUAGUUAUAGCAACAAGAAGACUUCCUUCUGUCUGUCUGCUGUAUUCUCUUUCCAAAGUAAUGACAGCCUUUUAUAUACUGUUGUGUAAUAUGGAGAAUGGUUUACAUUCUUCGAUUUCUUGAUUCAUUGAUGCAUUUAGCUAAACCAGCAGUUUACAUGCAGAUUUAAAAAAAAAUACAAUCAAUUGAAGUGGAGUUGCCAUGGUACACAUAGUAUACAUGGAAUCUGGAUCAUUCUUUUAAGUAUUGUUUCAUAUCAUCUUCAAGCUUCCUUAAUCAACUUGCAGUCUAACGUCUCAAUAAUCAAGUUGGCUUGUCCUAUCAUUAUAUCUUAAUCUAAGCGUCCAGAGAGGAAAAGACAUAAAACAAACAGGAUCCUUUAUAGGGUAGUCAUCUCAUGUAAGAAUACAGAACUGAGCUGCUAAAUUAGGCCUUAUGGUUUUCCUCUGACCUUGGGUAUUUUAAGUCUCAUUUUACCAGCCUGAAAUAUCACUUUAAUUAUAGUAAUUACCUAUCUCACAGGGUUUGUGAGGCUUAAUUAAUGUUGGCAAAGUGUUAAAGCUAUUUAGUAGAACAGUACUAUGGAAGCAAACUACCUGAAAAUACAGCCUCCCACCUUUCAGAGUUCUUCAUUCUACACUCCUUUUCUUUGUUUCUUCAGCAUGAACAUCGCACUUGCUCCUUUUUGGAAACUUUCACUUCUAUAUUGUGGUCUUUUCUUCUUGGAAUUUACCUUAGAUGAAAAUGUUCCUGAAUCAGACAGGCUAGGAACUAAGCGUCGUCCUCUCUAUUAAGGAGACAUCACAUUCCUCUGUUCGGUCAAAAUCAUAAAUUUCCAGUCAAUAAUUGUGAAUUUUGUUCUCAAAAUAUCCUUUGUUUGGAGCCAACAAGGAGUCCAAAACUGGUAGAUCUGCUUGCUCCAUUCUGGAAAUGGUACCUGGGGCCACUUCUAAUAAAGCAGCCUCAAGUUUACCCGCAUUUUUGGUACUCUUUACUACUUAACACCUGUCCAUCUAUAUCUAUGUCUAGGCACUAGAAUUUGUAACUCAGGAUCUGUGUACAUUUGCACUGCCUGCUCAUUGCAUAGCAGUGCCUGGCUGGAUGGAGCAGUGGUGGCUCACAUCCAGCCACUAGUUCUCCUAGCCAUGCCAUGUUCUUGUGGGUCUAAUUUCCACAAAGGUAUUAAACAGAGACCAGAAAUGACUUAGCUAGUAACCCAAGUUAAUUAGUAGUGGAAAGUAAUCACACCCACACUUACUAGUAUUAAAAAUAGCAUCUCAUCUUUGAAAUCAUAUCCUAUAGGAAUAUAUCUAGGGUAAGAUUAAAAUCAUGUGCUACUAUAUCUUUGCCCACUUCAGCCAAAACACAUUACAUCAUGUAUCCCAAUUUCAAAUAGAAUGUAAAUGGUAUAAAAUUCUCAGUUGUAUUAAUUUAUUGCUGCUAAGGUAGGGGCUAUAUGUAAUUUGGAAUGUGAAAAAUAAUAACUUAAAACAGGAACACAGAUUGAGUAGUCAUAGUAACGUAGUUUUUCAUUGGAAUAAUCAUUCUUUGAAAGAGAAUCCAUUGGUCACAGCCCAGUCUCUGUGUCCAUUGCUAAAACUUUGCAACAGUACCUUUGCUUGAAGCAGUGUUUCUUCCUGUUUGUAACUUGCCUCACUUGAGUUGCAUGAUGACAAGAUAGCUUUCCAUUUGGAAUGUUUCUAUUUUUAAAAACUUUUAUACCUGCGAACUUUGGGCCACACUAAUGAAAAGCAAGCACCUCUGCUUUCCAGUGGUAGCACUGACUGACUUACCCACCUUUCUGCACUAAGUUUCAAGAGUUCAAAAUUUGAAUAGUGCCAACAAGAACUCUAUCUAUAUGCUUUGCUGUCCAGUACUCUUCUUGGAGAAGUCCAGAUGUGAAAGUUUUUUAGUAAAUUUAUUCUCCAACUACAGACAGAGGCUGUCAGAAUGCUGCUGAACCUAUGACAGAGACUUAUCCUAACUGGUUGAAGUUAUGAGUACAGAGUAGAGCUGGCUCCAGGCAAGGGGUAGUCAUGGCUUACCAAUGUUAUGAUUGACAUGAUUCCUCCUGUGUCCUACUGAGUCAUCCCAUCACCUUGACUCCUCUAUCAGAAUAUUUUCUUCCUAGUCACCACUGAGCCAGGCUUGGGCAUCAUACUCAGACAUAAGGCUAUUUGAGGAAAUAGAAAGGCUUUGUUAUGUGUCUUAAUAUUUAGCAUGAAAAAAUUGCCAAGAAGCACUACUGAUGAACUCCUCCGAGUUAAAAUUAGACCACAUGUCCACAUAUUAAACCAACCACUCUCAAAGACAAUGAGACUGGCAUUCUAAACUUGUGUCAUUUAUGGGACUAAAGAUGGGAUCCUCCCUAAGAAUGUGACAGGGUUGAGGACAGGAACCAUGUUACUGUUAAUGUCCAAGGAGAUUCUAGGAGAGUCAUUGCUGUAGGUUAGACAAAUAUCACUGUUUGCUGCCUUGUGUAACUUGACUAUUCCUUAAUUUCUACUACCGUAGAAAGUCUACCCAGAUUUGUGCUUCCCAAAUCAUACCAAAUUAUGUAUAAGAGGAAGUAAGUUUGAAUUAAUAAGAGUCAGUUCUUCAUUGUAAGCAAAUUAGUGGAUUAUAAUAUCACAUAUUAAUGCCUGUAAAUGGAGUUUGUUUUUAGUGGCAUGGCAUUCUGGGGAGUUUUGAUUUCUCUACUAACCUUUAUUGAGUCCUAUCUGCAUUUAUUAUCAUGAGGCCUUCUGUACUGUCUUAUACAAAUCAUGGACUGAUCUGCUGAGGGUCUGAAGUAUAAGGGAUAUGAGAUAAAAUUCUCCAGAUGUGAAGAGAAAGAAAGAAGAAUGGAAAAGUUGAAGGAAAUUAAGAGAAAUCAUAAAAUUUUAGCAGCAUAACACAUCUAGUUCCAUGCUUUGGUCCAUUUUGAAUAUUUUUCCAUAAUGCCUUCUGCUGGCCCUCAAAUCUCAUGCCCUAACAAAAUUGCAAAGUAUCAUAAGCAAAGUAAAUAGCCAGUCUUUAAGUUUUCAAGUUGAUCCCCAAACUGACUCAAAUUUGCAAAAAUUUGGCAUAAUUUAAAAGUAAAUAAAUAGAAGCAACGCUUAACAGAAGGUUCCUAACAUAAACAAAGCUGUGCACGUUUUAUUUAUUUAUGGGAUCCUGCAAAGUGUCAUAUUCACUUAAAAAUAGUCAGCAUGAGAGUGAUUGAUUUUUAAAAAUUGAAUAGAGUUCAGUAAUAUGAGCAUUUUAAAAAUUAAAUAGUUUGGUAAGGGGAAAGGCUUUUUGGAUAAUAUUGUACUUUAGACAACAUUUGUCUAUUCAGAGUUUUUUAAAGGUUGACUGUGAGAAAAUAGCCACUGUUUUUGCUGUUGUAGUUUUACCAAAAGUGCUUUUGAAUUGGAAUUGUAAAGAAUCUUACCACACAUAGAGCACUUGUAUGUCUCUUGAGAAUGGGUGUUAAA
Peromyscus californicus insignis is the source of this 5642-nucleotide long non-coding RNA. RefSeq lists it as uncharacterized. The record is from RefSeq and is a predicted model, not a curated record. NCBI's taxonomy places the organism in Eukaryota, Metazoa, Chordata, Mammalia, Rodentia, Cricetidae. The transcript has 3 exons.